CAGGCGGCUAGGAAAGAAGGAUGUGAAAUCCCAGGGCUCAACCUUGGAACUGCAUUCUUAACUGCCUAGCUAGAGUAUGUCAGAGGGGGGUAGAAUUCCACGUGUAGCAGUGAAAUGCGUAGAUAUGUGGAGGAAUACCGAUGGCGAAGGCAGCCCCCUGGGAUAAUACUGACGCUCAGGUACGAAAGCGUGGGGAGCAAAACAGGAUUAGAUACCCUGGUAGUCACGCCCUAAACGAUGUCAACUAGCUGUNGGGCCAAUAAGCUUUANUANCGCANCUAACGCGUGAAGUUGACCCCCUGGGGAGUACGNUCNCAAAAUUAAACUCAAAGGAAUUGACGGGGACCNCACAGCGGU
Molecule: ribosomal RNA, 357 nt
Filed under: uncultured bacterium
Lineage: Bacteria
Description: bacterial SSU rRNA
Rfam family: Bacterial small subunit ribosomal RNA
Source: RNAcentral